This 117-nucleotide signal recognition particle RNA is filed under the name Pongo abelii (Sumatran orangutan). RNAcentral's name for it is "Metazoan signal recognition particle RNA (ENSPPYG00000032720.1)". It matches the Rfam family "Metazoan signal recognition particle RNA". Rfam says of the family: The signal recognition particle (SRP) is a universally conserved ribonucleoprotein. It is involved in the co-translational targeting of proteins to membranes. Lineage: Eukaryota; Metazoa; Chordata; Mammalia; Primates; Hominidae. The record is from Rfam by way of RNAcentral.
GCCGGGCGUGGUGGCUCACGCCUGUAAUCCCAGCACUUUGGGAGGCCGAGGCGGGUGGAUCACCUGAGGUCAGGAGUUCGAGACCAGCCUGACCAACAUGGUGAAACCCCGUCUCUA